AAGCGUGUGAGCAGCAAAGGUCCUGUCCUCGCCGCGCACUGACGCCGGUCAAUGUAACGUGUUACUCUGGAAGCCAGGGUCGCCACUUGCUGAAUAAAUCCGGGAGAGGGGUUACUGGACAUACCUGAGCAAUUCUCAACACUGCUGGAUAGAUGCCAGCAUUGUAACUGGACUGGAAGAGCUUGGCUAGGGAAGCAGCAAGUUUUGGAGCACAAACCUUCAGUACUAUUUUGGAAUGUUCUUAUGGCCCCUAGUCAUCACAGUAUCCAGUGCCUCCAUCCAUUUCUUGAUAUCAUGUGAAGUGAAUUGAAUUGGCUUGUUUGUGUGACGCCGGAAAUCAUUGGAGGAGGCUGAGAUGGAUCGUCCACUUGGCAUUGGUGCCUAAAGUUCUCAACUUUGCCACAACAAGUACCAUUGCUGCUGCUGCACUGCUGCUUCUCUGAACUCUCUGGAGCCUCAGGAACAUGCCUCGAGUAGGAUCCACUUGCACACUGAUCGGAGACACCGCCGUGAGCCACCGAGAGACCAGCCAACAUACUGCCAAGAGACCAGGCUGAGAGCCACCCAGAGAACACGCUAUAGGGCCCCCCACCAUGAGCCACUGAGAGACCAAGCUGGGACCCACCACGAGCCAAGAGACCAGGCCGGGACCCACUGAGAUAUUCCAUGUUCACUUGGGUUCUCAGUUGUAUUAUCUACUUGACAUUAGUCAUAAAUACGUUUCUUCUUCAUCUUAAUCUUUAUCUCGUGUGUCAUCUGUUGAAAUUGAUUCAUUUAUAAUUUGAUUUAUAAUUGCCGUAAGAUUUUUCAAACUUUAAUUAUGCUCUUUCUUGCAUGCUAGCACAACUUUUGCUUAUUUAAAAUGAUAACUGGCAAAUUUCAGGUGUGUUCCACAAUGAUAAAUAACAAUUUAGUUUAUGCAUUUAUUCCAGCCUAUAUAGGAAUAUAUAGCAAAACUGAAUAAAAUCUGUGGCCCCAUUUAAUUACACUCUUCAUGCGCCAUUUAAAAGUGCAGCUUUGAAAAAGAAAUAUUAGUGUGGUCAAAAUAUAUGUUGUUAGCUGAUCGUCUUGUGGUUGGACAUGCACUUUAGAAUCUUGUCUAAAGCAUUUUGAAAUCUGUUUCAAGAUCAAAGUAUUAUAAAGGUAGCAUACAUGAAAAGCAUAUUUCAAAUCCUGUGUUAGUUCACUUUAUGAAAGCUCAUAGUACUACAACUACUGUGUUCUUCAAAGAAAGUGAGCACUUAUCAUAGUACCAUUAUAGUCGUAAAUUUUCUAAACCCCUAGAGGCCUGGACUUGUGGCAUUAUUUAAAUCAUUUAAUACUUGAUAGCAUAAAAGAGUAAGUUUGAGGAAACACUAUCCAGCCACCCAGCUCACCUCAUCACAUAAUUUCUUUCUCAUGACCCUCUUUGAUCCAAGAGAAAUGUUGCCCUUAAUAUAUAUCCUCCAUUUAAACAUCAAGUAG
This is a non-coding RNA of Chiloscyllium plagiosum (whitespotted bambooshark), 1464 nucleotides long. NCBI's taxonomy places the organism in Eukaryota, Metazoa, Chordata, Chondrichthyes, Orectolobiformes, Hemiscylliidae. The record is from RefSeq and is a predicted model, not a curated record.